UACGUAGGUGGCGAGCGUUGUCCGGAUUUACUGGGCGUAAAGAGCGCGCAGGCGGCUGGUCAAGUCCGAUGUGAAAGCUCCCGGCUUAACUGGGAAAUUGCAUCGGAAACUGAUCGGCUGGAAGGUGGGAGAGGGUAGCGGAAUUCCCGGUGUAGUGGUGAAAUGCGUAGAUAUCGGGAGGAACACCAGUGGCGAAAGCGGCUACCUGGCCCAUUCUUGACGCUGAGGCGCGAAAGCUAGGGGAGCAAACAGG
RNAcentral lists this ribosomal RNA (253 nucleotides) under uncultured bacterium. RNAcentral's name for it is "partial 16S ribosomal RNA". It matches the Rfam family "Bacterial small subunit ribosomal RNA", at positions 524 to 776 of the family's 1533-position model. The record is from RNAcentral.